Molecule: ribosomal RNA, 259 nt
Filed under: uncultured archaeon
Lineage: Archaea
Description: partial 16S ribosomal RNA
Rfam family: Archaeal small subunit ribosomal RNA
Source: RNAcentral
CAGCCGUAAACAAUGUGCGUUAGGUGUGUCGGUAACCACGUGUUACUGAUGCGCCGAAGAGAAAUCGUGAAACGCACCACCUGGGAAGUACGGUCGCAAGGCUGAAACUUAAAGGAAUUGGCGGGGGGAGCACCACAACAGGUGGAGCCUGCGGUUUAAUUGGACUCAACGCCGGGAAGCUCACCGGAUAGGACAGCAGAAUGAUUGCCGGGCUGAAGACCCUGCAUGACUAGCUGAGAGGAGGUGCAUGGCGUCAGUG